Biomphalaria glabrata is the source of this 3945-nucleotide long non-coding RNA. RefSeq lists it as uncharacterized. The record is from RefSeq and is a predicted model, not a curated record. The transcript is spliced from 3 exons. NCBI's taxonomy places the organism in Eukaryota, Metazoa, Mollusca, Gastropoda, Planorbidae.
UAGGUGUAUAAGUAGUGGAGUUACUAGGUAUCAGCAUGGUCAGAGAAAGAAAAAAACUUUGAGGAUAGCACCAGCCCCCCUGGGGCUCACCAACUUCGCCCCUCGGCCCAGACUUGGCCACACUAGUGGCUAACUGUGGCGCCAGAGUGGGAUCCGCCUCAAAAAAAGUCAGAUGUCAUCACAUUUUGGAAUGAAUGAUGACAUUUCAGGACAAUGUCAGUGUCAUACUAAAUCCUGGACACAUAUGGACCAUCAAUCCGGCUCUCCUCACACUAUGGAAGGACUAAACCAAGUGUCCGGAUACCUUUGAAUCACACAUGAAAUAUGUCUAAGAAAUAGAUAGGGGCCGAGAUUUUCUUUCCUCCAAAUCAAAUGCGGGCAUCAUUCAACAACAUCACCACCCACUGUGCCCCCUCUUGCACUUUCCAGCGACCCAGCUAUGUCCACUGAAGCCUCACACUGCCUCCGUGUCCAACUUUGAGGCAUGGACAUGACUGCCUUAUCGCUUCUAGAACAAGUGACCCGUGACGGAUCAGCCUUCCAGAACUAUGACAUCCAAGGGAAUAACUUAUCGUUCAUUAUCUUCUGUCAUAACGAUAGCACUUUUUUUUUUUGGUGGACGCCGAAGAACUCAAUAUGUUUUCUGAAUGUGCAAGAAAAAGAAGUCCAUCUAUAUUUAACUAAUAAUUUAUCAGAAGAGAAUAACAACUUCUAAGUUUUAAAGUAACAUUGCUGUAUUUAUUUUUCAAUUGAUGUUUAGAGUUAUUAGCUAUUUGGAUCAAAACUGAACCGUAUGAUAGAAUUUAUAAGGAACUCUAGCUAGCAAAUAGGAAACGCAAUUUUAAAAACACUUAAUUAUUUAAUUAAUGUCAUAAUUCAUGGUAAAUAGAAUUUCUGUGUUUUUCCCACCUAAUUUUUCAUUUAAACGCUAUGUCAGUAUAACUUUUUUUUUGUUGUUUACUUAUUUAUUUGUUCUAGUGAAAUUAUUUUAGUAAGGAUUAAUUUUCUUUUGUUCUCUUAGGUAAACUUUUUUUUCUGUUUAUAUUAUAUACUGCAAUUACAUUAAUUUCUUCCCCUUUACCCCUGAUUACGGAAGAAAAAAAAACCAAUGUAGGCCUACUACUUUAGUACUUCAUAACUGAAACACUACUAUAAUCAGGAUCUUAAAGCAAAGAAUUAUCUAUUAUUAUGAUUAUCUACAGUGAAUAUUAUAUGCAAUUAGUUUUAGAAUGGAAUCAUAUUAACAUAGUGAAAUGCAUACACUUCUUUGACGCCUGGAACUUCAAUUGGGAAGUAACUCUAGCAUCUGUUGGCGAUUGAACUCAAUUCUAGCCUUUACUUUGAAAGACGUUUGACUUGUUAAAUGCGAUGUUUACUUCACCUCAAAUUAAUCAGAUUUUAUUUUUAUAUAUCACGUAAAUCCUAUAGUCUCAUUAUAUAACAAAAUUAAACGCAGUCCGUUACAUUAAAAUUUAUAAUGGCUAUUAAUUUCCAGAUAUUGUUUCACGUUCGAUAUGUCUGUCUCGGGGAUAUAAUUUCUAUUUUAUAGCAUCACCUCAUUUCUUCUCUAACCUGACCAAUAGAGAGUCCUCUCUAACUGAAUCCUUGGUCAGCUCCUAACACACGUACAAACUCUGAAAAUAUAAUCUUCAUCUAUAUUCUAGAAUAUAUCUUCCUGCUAACCUCUGUCCAGAGUGUGUGUACUAUAAUCCCUAGGAUCCCUCAUGCUUUAUGCUUAUCCUAUACCCAAACUCUUGAAUAUAAUCUCAAACUAAAAUCUCUCGCUUCGCUCUAAUCUCACUCUGAACUCUAACCCUUGAAAUAUAAUCUCUAACAAAAAGUCUUUUUUAUUGUAACUUCCAGCUUAUGCUUCAAUAUCACCAUUUUUUUUAUUUUUUUUUUCUUGUGUGGGUUUAUUUUUUUUUUUUAUAUUUGUUUUGGUCAGCUUGUAGGUAGACCUGCUUAGGUGAGAACAGUAUUGAUAAUUACCUUGUAAGUAUUGGUGUAACAUAACUCUGAUUGUUUUGUUUGAGGAUUUUUCAGUAGAUUAUUGUCCCUUUCACUUUUCAUUCGAAAGUUAGCUUUUUUUCCAAUUCUGAUAUUCACUUAUACACUGCAUUCGUUAGAUUUAGUUUUAGGUGUGCAGCAUAUGCUGGAAUAGGUCCACCUACACAGCAUCCAUUUCUGGUUUCAGUUUUAAAUCUUUUAAUUAAAUGAUGCAAUUGUUAAUUACAGAAAAUAGUUUCAGACUAUCUGGAUAUAUGCCUAGACUAAUGUAGUAUGCAUCUUAUUUUUAAACCAAUUAAUGAAGUAGAAUUUUAAAUUAAAGUGAAAGAAAAAUAAAUUAAAGGUAAAAAUAAAAAAUAAAUGGUGAUUCAAAAUUAUAUGUCAUUAUUUAUUGUUAUUAUAUAAUUAUAACUAUAAUUAUUAUUAUUAUUAUAUAGGUUUCAGGGAUGUGUAGGUAGACUUUGACCUGUGUGGUAGAUUUAUUUUUGUUUCUUUAGCUUAAGAAAAUAAUUUAACAAUGAAUAGCAUUGCCAAACUAAUUGGUUUGUAUUAUCUUGCGUGCUGUUUCUUACAUUCUGGGUUUUUUGUUUUGUUGGGUUUUUUUAAGAAACUAUAAAGAGAGAAAGAGUGAGAGAAAGAGAGGGAGAGAAAGUAGAAGAGACAUGGGGGAAGAGAAAGAUUGAGACAGAGAUAGACUGAUACACUCUGCUAUUUAAAACAAUAAUAGUAACAACAUAUGUGAGUGUGUAUUCGUGAGAGAGAGAGAGCGAGAGAAAGAGAGAGAGAGAGAGAGAGAGAGAAAGAUAAAUAAAAUAUAACAAGAAAAAAAUUAUAUCUGAGGCAUUCCUAAACAUUCCUAAUUAACAAUGUACAUAAUCAUUUUAUCGUGUAAAUAUUUCACUAUUAUCUAUUUUAUUCUAUUCUAUUCAUUUCGUUUACACAUUUCACAAUAACCCUUAUCGAGUCCGUCCACUAAGAUCGAUAAGUUAUUUAUCAUCUCUGUACAUAGCGCAAAUGUAGAACUAUAACAAUGGGAUGUAGGCUACACUACAAUAUCCCCAGGAGAAAAAUUAAAUACUCAAGGGAAAAAAACUCUGAAAGAAUGGGGGAAGGGGCUGAACGAAAGGAAAAAUAGAGAGAGAAAGAGAGAGAGAGAGAGAGAGAAGAGAGAGAUAGAAGAGAGAGAGAAGUGAUAUAGAGAGAGAGAGAGAAAAGAGAGAGAGAGAGAGAGAAAGGGAGACAUAGCUUAUGAGUUUAAAAAAGGGGGUAAAAAAGAAGAAUGAGAGAGAGAAAUAACAAAAAAAGAACAGAUUUUGUUUCUAUUUUUAUUCAGAUUAUGUUUUACAUAUAACUUUAUACAUACAACUAAAUAUAAGCAACGAAGAUUAUAUAUAUAUAUAAAUAUAUAUAUAUAUAUACAUAUAUAUACAUAUAUAUAUAUAUAUAUAUAUAUAUAUAUAUAUAUAUAUAUAUAUAUAUAUAUAAUACCAUAUACAUCAGUAUACAUACAAACUUAUAUAAUAAAUAUUAAAGUGUAUUUUAUAUGUUAAACAUAUUUCACUUACCUAUGUACAAAUCAAUGUAAAUAAUGAUUAUUUAAUUUAUAAUGUAUGAAAAAUGUAUUUAUUCUCAAUGGAUAUUGUGGCUUUUGCCGAAACCACAUAUUCCACAUGUGGGUCGCUUAGCCACACCAUUCCACUGUAAUCAUCAGAGCUAUACCUGUGAUAAAAUCAGAACUCCGUCCAUUUUUAUUUUUUUUUUACAUUUAUAUAUAUAUAUUGUUUUGUAUUCUGUGUAUGCGCCACUUGAGGUCGCUGUCUGACACGUGACAGCGCCAUCUUUGUGACGCGACUUAUGUAUGUACAUAUCAUUAUAUAUUUUUAUCUUCAUAUUUAAAAAAAAACUUUGUUUUAAAUAAAUUAUAAUUUGUAUCACAAA